RNAcentral lists this long non-coding RNA (968 nucleotides) under Ornithorhynchus anatinus (platypus). RNAcentral's name for it is "lncRNA (ENSOANG00000039926.1)". Lineage: Eukaryota; Metazoa; Chordata; Mammalia; Monotremata; Ornithorhynchidae. The record is from RNAcentral.
GCUUUCAACACAGAGAUGCUUCUGAGAUGUACCCACCACCCGCUAGCCCAUUUCCUAAGUUGAGUCUCUUCAGAAAAGAAGUCUCUCCUGAUGACCUCACUGCAAUUCUAAAAUGCAGUGGGUCAUCUGGGGUCCCAAGCAUCAUCGAAAAAUGUCAUUUGAAUCGGUCUUAUUAGCAGAGUGCAUGAGCUGUUGAUGCAGCCUACUCACACACAAGUCAGGGAUUUAAUUCUGGUGCUCCACUCCUGAAUGGCUGUUAGAUGUAAUGUAAACGCACAGCUUCCCUGCCUCACUGGUCGAAGCUCAUCACGAGCCUGGUGAGACCAGAAGAAAAAUGCCAGAACAAAAUAGUGAAGAAGUAUUUCUUUCUUCAGAAAUGUCUGCUCGCAACAGACUGGCUGGAAGGACACUGCUUGUCCAGAGUGCCGUGGUGGUCACAGUUUGUGUCCUAUUCUUCAAGAACCUUUGGCUUUAUAGAAAACCCUCCAUCUUCUUGAGCUCCGCAGGCUCCAUGAUUAAUGAACUGAAGAAUUGGACAGGGUGUCUGAGAAAAUUCCAGCAGGAUAUGGCAAAAUAUUCUGCACAGUUCUGUUGCCCUUGUGUCAUAUAGAUGGGUUAGAAACAAAAAUGUAUUUAAUGUCCUAAUAAAACUGCAGCUCCAGAGUGCAUAAGAUGUUACAGAGAAUCUCGUGCAAAUUAGACUGUUUUCAUAAUCACUGAGCCCAGAAAGUCCAAAUUCUUUCUUUUUCCCAUUCAACACUCUUUGUGUAGGGUGACUUGUCAUGCUUUUUAUGAGCUGUGUCGAGUAAUAGCUCUGAUUAGGGCGUCGUUAUUCUGCUUCAAAAGAUGAUGAAACUGAGAAGCAAGGCCAAGAAGAUGGGUGAGAGAGUCAGGAAACUCCAACUUUAGAAAAAUUUUUAGUUUAUGGGAAAGACAAGAAAAAAACCCUAAAGCCUUUAGUAUUUCAA